RNAcentral lists this long non-coding RNA (2194 nucleotides) under Pan troglodytes (chimpanzee). Its description in RNAcentral is "long non-coding RNA NONPTRT003724". The record is from RNAcentral. Lineage: Eukaryota; Metazoa; Chordata; Mammalia; Primates; Hominidae.
UAUGAGGACGUUACUGAAAGCAAAGGAUUCUCAUGGAAAAGGGGUGACAGCUUAAUCACCCAACCAACCAAACAAGGUAGGUAAGCUUGCGGACAGGAGCAGGUGACUUACUGGCUGCAGAAACCUCAGUCUCAAGAGCACCACAGUUGCAGGGGAGAGGGCUAAGGUUGGGAGGGUAAACUGGUGAAAUUUACACACACAUGAUCUAAAGAGAAUUCAAUUCUAUGGAGAGGAAGAAGGAGUAAAGACACACACUCAAAAUUACAGAGAUGGAGAGGAAGCAGGGAGAUAGAUAGGUUCAAAGGAGGAGAGAGAUACAGAGACAGACACACAGAGAGACUGGAAAACAGACAACUGAAGAGCAGAGAGAGAGAAAGAAAAUGACAGAGGGAAAAAUAGAAGAUCAAUUCAACAGCACGGCCUCUUCUGCCCACCACCCGCUGCCCCCGACCAUCUUUCUCAGGAUCCUAUCUGGCUGGCAAUCACCCAACACACCAUUCUCUACCUUGGAGUGAGCGUGAGAUGAGGCAGGAAUUCUCUGAUGUAUCCUUGCCCCCAUCUUCAUAGGCUUCAUAAGUGAAGGGAUUCAGGGAUAUCCAGAGUCAUGCUGAUCUUAAGCAAUGCUGAACCUUUCGGGGCUGACUGCAGGACCAAGUGCUUGCAAACCUGCAUCUUCACCACACGCACUGAUGCCCCUCAUCCCUUCGCACCUCCAAGAUGAAGAAGGUUUCUGUGCUGUCCGGUGUGUGUGAGGCUGAGCUUCCUGCUGGAUCCACCACUUUCACACCCAGAACCCCCUAACUAACUUCACAUGCCCUGCACGUUCCACACAGGCACCCCGAUUUGUCUCAACAGCCUCGAGGCCACAUUCUUGGACAGGAGAUCUGCCAUGAACAGUGAAAGACCCAUCCCAAGUGGCCCUGUUUUCUUUCUAGUAAAGCAAGGGAAUGUAUAUCCCCUGGCAUGGAAUUCACCGCGACCAAAAACCAUGUUUUUGAGACCAGCCUCUUCAAAGAUGGACGGCGUGGGACAUAUGCCCAAGUUGCGGGGGGAGCUUCUCUACAGAAUGUCACUUGGGAGUUGACACAAAACCCAGGGGGAGAAAAAAGACCCAGCAAAUACUACAAACUGCCCUCUCCCUCCCCCACCCACAGGUGACCAACGGCUUUGGGGAGGAUGGCAAUGCAAUGGAGGAAUAGAAAUGGAUACAUUGUGAACUUGAUAUGAAUCAAAAGAGCCUGGUUCUUUGAACCUGAUUCAAAUUCUAUGCCCAGUAUCCUUAGUUUACAAAUAAAGAAGUACUCUGAAGGGCUCAGAGGAUUUGCGUCCGUGUGUUUGUCCUUGGCAUGUAGUUACAAAGGUAUAUGUGGUCUGUUAGCCCACAUGUUCCCUUUCAGUCCUUGUCAGCCACUUCCUUGGCCUGUCCAUGAUCUGAGCCAGCUCUGGCCCAGCCUUUGAGAGACAAUGACUCACAACCAUGCCUCCCACAGCUGACGGCGGCACUGGACUGCCUGUGAUCGCGCUCACAGCAAGAUGUGCUGCUCCAGUUUCGAUGACACGCUUCCUCCCAUGGAUCCAUGGAUGCGAUCCAUGGAUGCUCCACCUGAGUUGCACUUUUCUUCCAUAGUCUGCAAUAUUGAAUAUUGGAGCCAUGUGGAUUUUACAAUAUCCAAAUUGCUUUGAUUCGAGAGAGAGAGAGAGAGAGAGGCUGUUCUUUCCUGGACGCUCUCAGACGCUCAGUGAUUCAGAACUCGUUUUUGUUUCAAGUCUUAAAAAUCUUGCCAUGCAUGAUAAACCUCUUAAGCAAGACACUGUACUCUGGAAUGUGUGCAUCAAUGCGGACUCUAGGCCUUGCCGCCGAGCCGGGGUCAUUGGCUGAGGCUCUAUGGAUAGUGUCAUCCUUAUUUUGUCCUGCUGCUUUGUUUCUCUUCCGGGGGCACCGUUGCUACACAUCCUGGAAUUAAAGGCUGAAAGCAAUGAUAGGCCACUUGAAUUUGGGGUCUUGGUGGAUGGAGACUACCUUCUCAUCCAAAGAUGUGGCCAUCAAGGAGAAGUCUUUCCCAUCGUAAAUAUCCAAGGGUGUGACUGAGCCAUCACUGAACUGGACCCAGCAACUGAUGGCUGCUUCCUAUGGAGAAAAAUAUGUAAGUUAAUCAAAUGGGCCAAAAAGCUCAUUGAGCCCCAAGUCUUAGUA